Non-coding RNA from Populus trichocarpa (black cottonwood), 155 nucleotides. The record is from Rfam. Lineage: Eukaryota; Viridiplantae; Streptophyta; Magnoliopsida; Malpighiales; Salicaceae.
UCUAGAACUCGAGAUAUGGGAUGAAUAUUGAAUAGUGUCUGGGCUGCAAGACAGAUUCUGACUUCUCUUUUGUUGCUACAAUUUGAACUUGAAAACGACCGUUUUGAAUCUUGGACUCUUCAUGAAUUUUUAAGCUUGUGUCUUAGCUUUCCAUC